This 463-nucleotide ribosomal RNA is filed under the name uncultured bacterium. Its description in RNAcentral is "partial 16S ribosomal RNA". It matches the Rfam family "Bacterial small subunit ribosomal RNA", at positions 28 to 507 of the family's 1533-position model. The record is from RNAcentral.
GACGAACGCUGGCGGCGUGCUUAACACAUGCAAGUCGAACGGUGAACCUCUUCGGAGGGGAUCAGUGGCGAACGGGUGAGUAACACGUGGGCAACCUGCCCCCGGCUCUGGGAUAACUCCAAGAAAUUGGGGCUAAUACCGGAUGUUCACCGCUUCCCGCAUGGGUGGUGGUGGAAAGGGUUUCCGGCUGGGGAUGGGCCCGCGGCCUAUCAGCUUGUUGGUGGGGUAGGGGCCUACCAAGGCGACGACGGGUAGCCGGCCUGAGAGGGUGACCGGCCACACUGGGACUGAGACACGGCCCAGACGCCUACGGGAGGCAGAGGUGGGGAAUAUUGCGCAAUGGGCGGAAGCCUGACGCAGCGGCGCCGCGUGGGGGAUGACGGCCUUCGGGUUGUAAACCUCUUUCAGCAGGGACGAAGCGCAAGUGACGGUACCUGCAGAAGAAGCACCGGCCAACUACGUG